GAGCGCUGGACAGCAUACAAGUGAGAAUGCCGGUAUGAGUAACGAAAAGACAAGUGAGAAUCUUGUCCGCCGAAAGCCUAAGGGUUCCUGAGGAAGGCUCGUCCACUCAGGGUAAGUCGGGACCUAAGGCGAGGCCGAAAGGCGUAGUCGAAGGACAACAGGUUGAAAUUCCUGUACCACCGUGAACCGUUAUGAGCAAUGGGGUGACGCAGAAGGAUAGUGACGCGGACUGAUGGAUGUCCGUCCAAGCAGAGAGGCUGGUGUGCAGGCAAAUCCGCACAUCRUWAAGGCUGGUCUGUGAUGGGGAGUGAAAAUCGCAGUAGCGAAGGUCAUGAGUUCAAGCUGCCAAGAAAAGCCUCUAGCCAGGGAGAAGGUGCCCGUACCGGAAACCGACACAGGUAGGCGAGCAGAGCAUGCUAAGGCGCGCGGAAGAACUCUCGUUAAGGAACUCGGCAAAAUGACCCCGUAACUUCGGGAGAAGGGGUGCCUCGGUAGGGUGAAUAGCCCGAGGGGGCCGCAGUGAAAAGGCCCAAGCGACUGUUUAGCAAAAACACAGGUCUGUGCGAAGCCGCAAGGCGAAGUAUACGGGCUGACGCCUGCCCGGUGCUGGAAGGUUAAGGGGAGCGGUAAGGGGCAACCCGAAGCUGUGAACCGAAGCCCCAGUAAACGGCGGCCGUAACUAUAACGGUCCUAAGGUAGCGAAAUUCCUUGUCAGGUAAAUUCUGACCCGCACGAAUGGCGUAACGACUUGGGCGCUGUCUCAACGAGAGAUCCGGUGAAAUUUUAAUACCUGUGAAGAUGCAGGUUACCCGCGACAAGACGGAAAGACCCCAUGGAGCUUUACUGCAGCUUGAUAUUGGACUUUGGUACGAUCUGUACAGGAUAGGUGGGAGCCUGAGAAGCAUGAGCGCCAGCUUGUGUGGAGGCGACGUUGGGAUACCACCCUGAUCGUAUCGGAGUUCUAACCUGGCACCCUAAAUCGGGUGUGGGGACAGUGUCAGGUGGGCAGUUUGACUGGGGCGGUCGCCUCCUAAAGCGUAACGGAGGCGCCCCAAGGUUCCCUCAGAAUGGUUGGAAAUCAUUCGAAGAGUGCAAAGGCAGAAGGGAGCUUGACUGCGAGACAAACAGGUCGAGCAGGGACGAAAGUCGGGCUUAGUGAUCCGGUGGUACCGAAUGGAAGGGCCAUCGCUCAACGGAUAAAAGCUACCCUGGGGAUAACAGGCUUAUCUCCCCCAAGAGUCCACAUCGACGGGGAGGUUUGGCACCUCGAUGUCGGCUCAUCGCAUCCUGGGGCUGAAGUAGGUCCCAAGGGUUGGGCUGUUCGCCCAUUAAAGCGGUACGCGAGCUGGGUUCAGAACGUCGUGAGACAGUUCGGUCCCUAUCUGUCGCGGGCGUAGGAAAAGCGCGGCAACGUGUGGAGCUGACGAAUACUAAUCGGUCGAGGGCUUAACUAAG
RNAcentral lists this ribosomal RNA (1455 nucleotides) under Paenibacillus piri. RNAcentral describes it as "Paenibacillus sp. MS74 partial 23S ribosomal RNA". It matches the Rfam family "Bacterial large subunit ribosomal RNA", at positions 1269 to 2925 of the family's 2925-position model. Lineage: Bacteria; Bacillati; Bacillota; Bacilli; Caryophanales; Paenibacillaceae. The record is from RNAcentral.